GAUAAACGCUGGCGGCGUGCCUAAAACAUGCAAGUCGAACGGUUCCAUGCUUUCGGGUGUGGGACAGUGGCGGACGGCUGAGUAACACGUGGGUGACCUGCCUUCGAACGGGGGAUAACUGCCCGAAAGGGUGGCUAAUACCGCAGACAUCAUGGGUUCGUUCUCAUGAUUGAACCGUUUAGGGUUCGGAGAGGGGCCCGCGGCCGAUUAGCUCGCUGGUGGGGUAACGGCCUACCAGGGCAUCGAUCGGAGCUGGUCUGAGAGGAUGAUCAGCCAGACUGGGACUGCGAACGGCCCAGACUCCUACGGGAGGCAGCAGUUAGGAAGUUUUGGGCAAUGGGCGAAAGCCUGACCCAGCAACGCCGCGUGGGUGAUGAA
RNAcentral lists this ribosomal RNA (378 nucleotides) under uncultured bacterium. RNAcentral describes it as "bacterial SSU rRNA". It matches the Rfam family "Bacterial small subunit ribosomal RNA", at positions 28 to 412 of the family's 1533-position model. The record is from RNAcentral.